RNAcentral lists this ribosomal RNA (497 nucleotides) under uncultured bacterium. RNAcentral describes it as "partial 16S ribosomal RNA". It matches the Rfam family "Bacterial small subunit ribosomal RNA", at positions 28 to 507 of the family's 1533-position model. The record is from RNAcentral.
GACGAACGCUGGCGGCGUGCCUAAUACAUGCAAGUUGAGCGCUGAAGGUUGGUACUUGUACCGACUGGAUGAGCAGCGCACGGGUGAGUAACGCGUGGGGAAUCUGCCUUUGAGCGGGGGACAACAUUUGGAAACGAAUGCUAAUACCGCAUAAAAACUUUAAACACAAGUUUUAAGUUUGAAAGAUGCAAUUGCAUCACUCAAAGAUGAUCCCGCGUUGUAUUAGCUAGUUGGUGAGGUAAAGGCUCACCAAGGCGAUGAUACAUAGCCGACCUGAGAGGGUGAUCGGCCACAUUGGGACUGAGACACGGCCCAAACUCCUACGGGAGGCAGCAGUAGGGAAUCUUCGGCAAGAGACGAAAGUCUGACCGAGCAACGCCGCGUGAGUGAAGAAGGUUUUCGGAUCGUAAAACUCUGUUGGUAGAGAAGAACGUUGGUGAGAGUGGAAAGCUCAUCAAGUGACGGUAACUACCCAGAAAGGGACGGCUAACUACGUG